GUUUUGGUUACCUGUCGACCCAAUGGGUACUUGGGAAGAGAAGAAGCGAACUGAUGAAGACAUCUCAAAACCAGGAAGUAAUUUGAAUGGUAAACAUAGUAACUGCAUCUACAAAUAAUGGGUGAAACAGAACUGAAUUUACUCAGAUAAGGAGAAAAAAGAAGUAACACUUCGUGGGCAAUGUUACAUUCCAGGAACUAUGCCUUGGCAUAGGAAACUAUUUCAUCUGAUGCUCAACUGAGGAAAUGGGAGUUCUGGUUUCAACAUUGGAAAUAAAACCGACUAUAUUGGACUUCAUGAGAGGCGAUGUGUUAUACCCUUCUAAGGGAUUUUCAAGAGUUAUUUUCACCAUCCCACACUUUUGUCUUAUGCGCUGACUUUGGAAAGAGAUUUCACUGUUGUUUAUAUCUGGUUCUUCUCAGCUGCAGCAGAAAACAUCACAAAUGAUUAACUUUCUUCAUGUAACCUAUUCUCUAAAUUCUUUCUUACUGAGAUACGUAUCUGCCAAUGCCCCUCUACCACCUAUCCAGAUCAAUAAUUCUUGAUACACUUUAUGAAUACGUUUAUAGGUUUUGACGCAGAGAAAAUUCUCUACUUGAUACAUUACUACAGAUCACAUUCUGCAUAUGUAAAAACAAAACCUUUUGAAAUAGUAAUUCUAUUUUCCAUUUGUUAAAUUUUUCUUCUGGCAUCAUUGCUAUACACUGGUCAUAGCUGCCACUGUUUCAUUUCAUAAUUGUGUUUAAGAUGAUUCUUCUCAACAGAGCUAUAUUUUGCCUAGUAAUAUUAUUUCCCAAAGAGAUACGCUUUCUUGUAUUCUUGAAACAUGAAGACCUUGUGAUCUUUCCUAAUCUUUGAUAAAGAGACACAAACAGAAAGAGAUUUCUCUAUCAAAUACUCAAAUACCCAUUGCUUCUCCUCAAACAUCCACACACACUCCAACCUUAGGUCCUUUCCACUUGCCAUCUCUCUCUUUGGAAUUUCCUUCCUCCAGAUUUCUGCAUGGCAAGCUCUGUAACUUCCUUUACUCUUUAUUCAAAAUCCACCUGCUUAUUAGUAAGGUCCUUCUUUAAAAUGUCAAUCCAACUCCCCAUGUACACUAAACUUCAUAUUCCUUCUAUCUCCUUCAUUGUUUUCUCCUUAGCAAUGAUCACUAACACAUAUUUUAUCCAUCUAUCUCGAUAGCAUGUAAGCUCCAUGAAGGUAGAGGUUUUUGUCACUUUUGUUCAUUCCUUAUUUAUUCAUGAGAGACAGAGAGAGAGAGGCAGAGACCCAGGCAGAGGGAGAAGCAGGCUUCAUGCAGGGAGCCCGACGUGGGACUCGAUCCCAGGUUCCUGUAUUCUCAGCACCUAGAUUAACACCUGGCACACAGAAAACACUCAAAAACUUUGUUGAGUGAGGAAGUGCAUUAAUGAAUGGAGGACAACCCUCAGUCUCCCUUCUAAAUAAGAGCAAUCACUUGUCAUCUUGCUGGAUGUGGGUCAGAUUUACUAAUUUUUCAACAAAAGAUGAAAGUUUGAAUUUGUAAUGUAAAAUGUCUCAAUUAGUAAACAUUGGCUUGGGUUUUUAAAAAAACACCAUGGACCUAAAAAAACCCCACAUUAACAUCAGGCUGUGAGUUGCCAGUCAAUGUAUUUCUAUACGUUUUACAUAUAUAUAUAUAAAACAAUGUAUUACUAAACAACCUUUUAAAUCAACCCUCUCCAAACACAUCAAUCCUGUCUGCCAUUCAAUCAAAAUCAUUCAUGUAUUAUUGUUUACUAAUAUGACAAAGCCUCUAUUGUUACUGAGCUGGUUAUGUUUUUUUGGAGAGGAAAUCAACGGCUAUGUAAACUUAAAUAUAAAUAGGUUAAGAAAAUAUGAUCAGAUAAAAUUAUAUUUGCCAUGAUGCUUAGUUUUUGCAAUCCUCUUCUAAUUUCCAUAGUCUUUAUCACUUCUGUGUCCAGGUUUUAGUUAUAGGGUGAAGAAUGACCCCAAGAAGACUUAAAGAAAGUAUGUAAAAAUGGCUGCAAAUUUUUAUUUGUUCCUUUCAAUCAAUUCAACUGCUGGCAAAAUAGAUACUGGAUUUUAGGAAUAAGACGUAUCAGCUGGCCAAGAACACAGCAUUUUCUCAGUUAUCAUCUUGCUAGAACUAAGCAUUUUUUUCAUUAGAGAAAUUUUGGCUGACAGUGUUUGAUUCUCAGUCUCAUCAUGUGACAGCUACCCAAUAGAGUGCCAAACCACAACUGUCUCCCAGCUUUGGUGUGGCACGAGUGCUUGUCCUCUCAUCUGUCUCAACCCUUUGUUCCCCCUGUUCAGUAGCACUUGAUGAAGGGUUUGGAUUUGAGCUGCCACUUCCCACCACACUACUGGGCUAAUGUCUCACUCAUCUGAUUAUAUGAAGUAAUUUGUUUUGCAGUCAUUUUCUUCCUUCUCAUUUACUUUUAUUAUUUUUUUCUAAUGGAUUUUUCCCUCCUCCUGCUCUUAGAUCAAAAGAAGCAGAAUGAAGAGGUAGAGGCAAAAGUGAAAAGCAGGUUUCUACCAAACUCGUGAUCUAAUUGUGCCUUUUGAUCAUGAAUCACCAUGAAAAACUUACUAAAUGGUGAAAAGAAUUCCUUGCUCUACCUCUAACUUGCUCUGUGACCUUAGAGAUAGUUUACUUCCUCUCUUGGCUGCAGUUCUUCACUUGUAAAAUAAGUAUACUGAAUAAGGUUAUCAUUCUAAUAGGUAUAUAUUACAAUUCUAAGAAGUCCAAGACUUGCUUCCUACCUCAACUGAUUUAAAAUCUAGCUGGGUACAUAGGGAAUAGAGACAUAAAAUAUUAAUAAGUCAGAAUAAUAAAGCUUCAACUGUCACUGACAAGGGAUUGAAUCUAAGUUUUCUACAUAGCAUAAAGUUGAACUCUUUAAGGGUUGAAGUCAAGCCAAAUAGCUUUAAGGAAAAUUUGAAUAAAAAUAUACUUGAUUUUAUGUGAAAUACAUGGAAUUAGUCAUUUAUUAAAUAUACUGAGCAUAAUGUAACUUUUUGACAGAACAGGAUUAACAUCAAUAGCAAAUCAUUACUAGUAAUAUAGAGGGUGUGGUUGGUGUUCACAGCACAGGAUUAAAAUGGAUCUAUUCCUAGCUAUGGUGUGAAGACUUGCUUUUUAAAAAAAGUCUUUUGAAAAUAAAGAGUAUAUGUGUGUG
Molecule: long non-coding RNA, 3164 nt
Organism: Nyctereutes procyonoides (raccoon dog)
Lineage: Eukaryota; Metazoa; Chordata; Mammalia; Carnivora; Canidae
Exons: 3
Source: RefSeq, a predicted model, not a curated record